RNAcentral lists this ribosomal RNA (2271 nucleotides) under Salmonella enterica subsp. enterica serovar London. RNAcentral's name for it is "partial 23S ribosomal RNA". It matches the Rfam family "Bacterial large subunit ribosomal RNA", at positions 690 to 2925 of the family's 2925-position model. Lineage: Bacteria; Pseudomonadati; Pseudomonadota; Gammaproteobacteria; Enterobacterales; Enterobacteriaceae. The record is from RNAcentral.
GGGCGUUAAGUUGCAGGGUAUAGACCCGAAACCCGGUGAUCUAGCCAUGGGCAGGUUGAAGGUUGGGUAACACUAACUGGAGGACCGAACCGACUAAUGUUGAAAAAUUAGCGGAUGACCUGUGGCUGGGGGUGAAAGGCCAAUCAAACCGGGAGAUAGCUGGUUCUCCCCGAAAGCUAUUUAGGUAGCGCCUCGUGAAUUCAUCUCCGGGGGUAGAGCACUGUUUCGGCUAGGGGGCCAUCCCGGCUUACCAACCCGAUGCAAACUGCGAAUACCGGAGAAUGUUAUCACGGGAGACACACGGCGGGUGCUAACGUCCGUCGUGAAGAGGGAAACAACCCAGACCGCCAGCUAAGGUCCCAAAGUCAUGGUUAAGUGGGAAACGAUGUGGGAAGGCCCAGACAGCCAGGAUGUUGGCUUAGAAGCAGCCAUCAUUUAAAGAAAGCGUAAUAGCUCACUGGUCGAGUCGGCCUGCGCGGAAGAUGUAACGGGGCUAAACCAUGCACCGAAGCUGCGGCAGCGACACUAUGUGUUGUUGGGUAGGGGAGCGUUCUGUAAGCCUGUGAAGGUGUGUCGUGAGGCAUGCUGGAGGUAUCAGAAGUGCGAAUGCUGACAUAAGUAACGAUAAAGCGGGUGAAAAGCCCGCUCGCCGGAAGACCAAGGGUUCCUGUCCAACGUUAAUCGGGGCAGGGUGAGUCGACCCCUAAGGCGAGGCCGAAAGGCGUAGUCGAUGGGAAACGGGUUAAUAUUCCCGUACUUGGUGUUACUGCGAAGGGGGGACGGAGAAGGCUAUGUUGGCCGGGCGACGGUUGUCCCGGUUUAAGCGUGUAGGUGUGUGUUCCAGGUAAAUCCGGUUCACUUUAACACUGAGGCGUGAUGACGAGGCACUACGGUGCUGAAGCAACAAAUGCCCUGCUUCCAGGAAAAGCCUCUAAGCAUCAGGUAACAUCAAAUCGUACCCCAAACCGACACAGGUGGUCAGGUAGAGAAUACCAAGGCGCUUGAGAGAACUCGGGUGAAGGAACUAGGCAAAAUGGUGCCGUAACUUCGGGAGAAGGCACGCUGACACGUAGGUGAAGUGAUUUACUCACGGAGCUGAAGUCAGUCGAAGAUACCAGCUGGCUGCAACUGUUUAUUAAAAACACAGCACUGUGCAAACACGAAAGUGGACGUAUACGGUGUGACGCCUGCCCGGUGCCGGAAGGUUAAUUGAUGGGGUCAGCGCAAGCGAAGCUCCUGAUCGAAGCCCCGGUAAACGGCGGCCGUAACUAUAACGGUCCUAAGGUAGCGAAAUUCCUUGUCGGGUAAGUUCCGACCUGCACGAAUGGCGUAAUGAUGGCCAGGCUGUCUCCACCCGAGACUCAGUGAAAUUGAACUCGCUGUGAAGAUGCAGUGUACCCGCGGCAAGACGGAAAGACCCCGUGAACCUUUACUAUAGCUUGACACUGAACAUUGAGCCUUGAUGUGUAGGAUAGGUGGGAGGCUUUGAAGUGUGGACGCCAGUCUGCAUGGAGCCGACCUUGAAAUACCACCCUUUAAUGUUUGAUGUUCUAACGUGGACCCGUAAUCCGGGUUGCGGACAGUGUCUGGUGGGUAGUUUGACUGGGGCGGUCUCCUCCUAAAGAGUAACGGAGGAGCACGAAGGUUGGCUAAUCCUGGUCGGACAUCAGGAGGUUAGUGCAAUGGCAUAAGCCAGCUUGACUGCGAGCGUGACGGCGCGAGCAGGUGCGAAAGCAGGUCAUAGUGAUCCGGUGGUUCUGAAUGGAAGGGCCAUCGCUCAACGGAUAAAAGGUACUCCGGGGAUAACAGGCUGAUACCGCCCAAGAGUUCAUAUCGACGGCGGUGUUUGGCACCUCGAUGUCGGCUCAUCACAUCCUGGGGCUGAAGUAGGUCCCAAGGGUAUGGCUGUUCGCCAUUUAAAGUGGUACGCGAGCUGGGUUUAGAACGUCGUGAGACAGUUCGGUCCCUAUCUGCCGUGGGCGCUGGAGAACUGAGGGGGGCUGCUCCUAGUACGAGAGGACCGGAGUGGACGCAUCACUGGUGUUCGGGUUGUCAUGCCAAUGGCACUGCCCGGUAGCUAAAUGCGGAAGAGAUAAGUGCUGAAAGCAUCUAAGCACGAAACUUGCCCCGAGAUGAGUUCUCCCUGAGACUUAGAGUCUCCUGAAGGAACGUUGAAGACGACGACGUUGAUAGGCCGGGUGUGUAAGCGCAGCGAUGCGUUGAGCUAACCGGUACUAAUGAACCGUGAGGCUUAACCUUACAACGCCGAAG